AGUGAACGCUGGCGGUAGGCCUAACACAUGCAAGUCGAACGGCAGCACAGUAAGAGCUCGCCCCUACGGGUGGCGAGGGGCGGACGGGUGAGGAAUACAUCGGAAUCUACUUUUUCGUGGGGGAUAACGUGGGGAAACUUCCGCUAACACCGCACACGACCUACGGGUGAAAUCAAGGGAUAUUCGGACCUUUCGCGUCUCAAAUAGCCGAUGUCGGAUUAGCUAGUUGGCGGGGUAAAGGCCCACCAAGGCGACGAACCGUAGCUGGUCUGACAGGAUGAUCGGCCACACUGGAACUGAGACACGGUCCAGACUCCUACGGGAGGCAGCAGUGGGGAAUAUUGGGCAAUGGGCGCAAGCCUGAUGCAGCAAUGCCGCGUGAGUGAAGAAGGUCUUCGGAUCGUAAAGCUCUUUUGUUGGGAAAGAAAAGCAGCAGAAGAAUAUCCCGCUGUUUUGACGGUACCCAAAGAAUAAGCAACGGCUAACUUCGUG
RNAcentral lists this ribosomal RNA (492 nucleotides) under uncultured bacterium. Its description in RNAcentral is "partial 16S ribosomal RNA". It matches the Rfam family "Bacterial small subunit ribosomal RNA", at positions 29 to 507 of the family's 1533-position model. The record is from RNAcentral.